This 549-nucleotide ribosomal RNA is filed under the name Triticum aestivum (bread wheat). RNAcentral's name for it is "partial small subunit ribosomal RNA". Lineage: Eukaryota; Viridiplantae; Streptophyta; Magnoliopsida; Poales; Poaceae. The record is from RNAcentral.
AUGGCAGUCGCUAAUCCCGUCUCUUUACCGCGGAUUAUCGCAUACUGCUGUUCUUCACUUCUUCUGGAGUCGAGGGUUUCCAGAGUUUUUCUUUUCUUUUCACGAAACAUGAUUCAGGGUUCUUCAUGGAAGCCGCAAAUCCCGUCUCUUUACCGCGGAUUAUCGCAUCCUACGCUGUUCUUCACUUUUUCUUCUGGAGUUGAGGGUUUUUCAGACUUCCAGUUCUUUUUUUCUUUUCACGAAACAGGGAUUCAGGGUUCUUCUGGAGUUGAUGGUUUCCGGUUUUUCCUUUUCUUUUCACGAAACAGGAUUCAGGGUUCUUCAUGGAAGUCGCAAAUCUCGUCUCUUUACGGCGGAUCGCGCGCUUGGCAUCCAGACCUUUUGGAUUUUUCAGACUUCCAGUAUUAUUUUUCACUUUUUCUUCUGGAGUUGAUGUUUUUUCAGACUUCCAGUAUUAUUUUUCCCAAAACAGGGAUUCAGGGUUUUGGGAUGCAAGUUCUUGGCCUUCUUUUCCUAAUCGAUCGAGGGGUAAAGCGCGUAGGUUUUUAA